RNAcentral lists this long non-coding RNA (466 nucleotides) under Mytilus galloprovincialis (Mediterranean mussel). The record is from RNAcentral. Lineage: Eukaryota; Metazoa; Mollusca; Bivalvia; Mytilida; Mytilidae.
GUUUUUCUUAAACUAUCAGCAAUAGGUCAACUAUAUUUGUUGUAUGGAAGAAUUGUUAGCUGUUCUUGUCUGUAUGGCAUGGUUUAUCUGACCUUGACCUCAUUUUCAUGGUUCAUUGGUCAAUUUUUACUUUUCUUGGUUAAUGUUAAGUUUAUGUGACAGUUGUAAUGAAGUUUAUAUUUAGGAUUAUCAACAUAAUAGCAAUGAUUAGUAAAGAAGGCAAGACAUUUCAGCGUGUGCACUCCUGUUCUUGUUAUUUGCUGUGUUAUGAGCAUUAUACAAACUCAAGCAUUGGUGAUACCAUUUUUAAGUCCUCUUCUAAAACUUCACAAAACUUUCUGUACUAAAGCUCACAUAAUAUCUCUAUUUUUGUUUCAGUUGAGAACUUAGCGCAACCCAACAUGUCUUUACAUUGGGUAUCUAGCAUUACCAUAAUAAAGUAAAAAUAAAUUUACUCCCAGAAUAU